AUUGAACGCUGGCGGCAGGCCUAACACAUGCAAGUCGAGCGGAUGAAGGGAGCUUGCUCCUGGAUUCAGCGGCGGACGGGUGAGUAAUGCCUAGGAAUCUGCCUGGUAGUGGGGGAUAACGUCCGGAAACGGGCGCUAAUACCGCAUACGUCCUGAGGGAGAAAGUGGGGGAUCUUCGGACCCCACGCUAUCAGAUGAGCCUAGGUCGGAUUAGCUAGUUGGUGGGGUAAAGGCCUACCAAGGCGACGAUCCGUAACUGGUCUGAGAGGAUGAUCAGUCACACUGGAACUGAGACACGGUCCAGACUCCUACGGGAGGCAGCAGUGGGGAAUAUUGGACAAUGGGCGAAAGCCUGAUCCAGCCAUGCCGCGUGUGUGAAGAAGGUCUUCGGAUUGUAAAGCACUUUAAGUUGGGAGGAAGGGCAGUAAGUUAAUACCUUGCUGUCUUGACGUUACCAACAGAAUAAGCACCGGCUAACUUCGUG
This 484-nucleotide ribosomal RNA is filed under the name uncultured bacterium. RNAcentral's name for it is "partial 16S ribosomal RNA". It matches the Rfam family "Bacterial small subunit ribosomal RNA", at positions 30 to 507 of the family's 1533-position model. The record is from RNAcentral.